Molecule: small nuclear RNA, 185 nt
Organism: Prionailurus viverrinus (fishing cat)
Lineage: Eukaryota; Metazoa; Chordata; Mammalia; Carnivora; Felidae
Product: U2 spliceosomal RNA
Exons: 1
Source: RefSeq, a predicted model, not a curated record
AUCACUUCUUGGCCUUUUGGCUAAGAUCAAGUGUUAACCUUAACAAUAUUUUUUAUUUUUAUUUUUAAAAUUUUUUUUUCAACGUUUAUUUAUUUUUGGGACAGAGAGAGACAGAGCAUGAACGGGGGAAGGGCAGAGAGAGAGGGAGACACAGAAUCGGAAACAGGCUCCAGGCUCUGAGCCAU